UUAUUUCAAUUUUCUUUCACAAUACUAUUACACUAUAAUUAAAAUUAUUUUUUCUUUAUUGAAUACUAAAACAAAUCUUUAUACAAUUAUUUUUAAUAAUUUAAACCCAUAAAAAAUAUAAAUUAAUAAAUAAAAUUUAAUCAAUUUAUAUUGAUUUGCACAAAAAAUUUUUCAAUGUAAAUGAAAUGCUUUACUUAAUAAGCUUUAAAUUGCAUUCUAGGUACACUUUCCAGUACAUCUACUAUGUUACGACUUAUCUUACCUUAAUAAUAAGAGUGACGGGCGAUGUGUGCAUAUUUUAGAGCUAAAAUCAAAUUAUUAAUCUUUAUAAUUUUACUGUCAAAUCCACUUUCAAUAAAUAUUUCAAAUUUAUAUUCAUAUAAAUAAAUUUAUUGUAACCCAUUUCUACUUAAACAUAAGCUACACCUUGAUCUGAUAUAUUUUUCUUUUAAAAUUUAUGAAAAUUAACAUUCUUAUAAAAUAUUCUAAUAACGACGGUAUAUAGACUGAUUACAAAUUUAAGUAAGGUCCAUCGUGGAUUAUCGAUUAUAGAACAGGUUCCUCUGAAUAGACUAAAAUACCGCCAAAUUUUUUAAGUUUCAAGAACAUAACUA
RNAcentral lists this ribosomal RNA (614 nucleotides) under Gimnomera tarsea. RNAcentral describes it as "partial 12S ribosomal RNA". The record is from RNAcentral. Lineage: Eukaryota; Metazoa; Arthropoda; Insecta; Diptera; Scathophagidae.